RNAcentral lists this long non-coding RNA (1157 nucleotides) under Anas platyrhynchos platyrhynchos (common mallard). RNAcentral describes it as "lncRNA (ENSAPLG00000028444.1)". Lineage: Eukaryota; Metazoa; Chordata; Aves; Anseriformes; Anatidae. The record is from RNAcentral.
CAGCUCCAUGCCUGGCGCUAGGCGAGGCCGCAGUGGUGCUGGAAUCAGCACCAAGCAACGGGGGGCUGGGGUGGGGCAGGGGGGCAGAGGCACCUUCGCUCCCUUUGUGCCCUGCAGGGGAAGGGCCGGGGCUGCUCCUUGCUGCGGGGCCAGCCCCGGGAGAGCAAAGAGGGGUGGCAGGAGCUGGGCAGCAGCCACGGAGCAGAGACCUGUGAAAAACCAGCCGGAGGCACAGAGACGUAAAUUCACGAUGUGUUUAAUGCCAGUUCGAACGCUUUACAUGGAAAAGUUACAACGCUCUAUAUUUUUUUUCCACCAUGUGAUGCUUUAUACACAACAACGCCACAAGGUCGCAGACUCGGGGAGGACCCCUCGGCUCAGCCCGCCCGCGCAGCUCAGCACUUGCAGAUCCCACACACACACAGCACAAGCACGCAGGCUCUGCUCUUUUGCCCACGGGACACCCUCAGCACGCCCCAGCCAGCCGCCGGUGUCACGCACACAGCCACCAGCACCCCUCACGCACACCAGGCAGAGCAAGAGGCGCAGGUUGGGAGCAGAGGGGCACAGCUGGAGGCAGGAGCACAGGCAGCAACGAGCAGCAGCGGUGGCCCAAGGGCUGUGUGUGCUGAGCACGCUGCCCCCUCCCCGGGGGGGGACACUGACACCACACAGCGACCACCAGCAGCAGUGUGGGAGCCCCCAGAAAGCCCCACACUCACCCAGUGCCACCCCCAGGCACAAACCAGUGAGCCCUCCCAGCUCUGACACCUCUCUGAUGUCCCCACCCCAUCGCUGAUUGCCUCCUGGAGCAGAACACAGCCCCAACAGCCCCGUCCCCAGGUGCAGCUGCCCCCCAGGUGACAACCCACAGACACCCGUGACAUCCACAUCCUGCUGCAGGUGGCCUCGAGCCACUUGCCAGCUUAUUAGUGACCUGACUUCAGUAACAGCUCCUCGGUGAUCUGCAGUGGGCCCUCCACACCGUGACAUUGAACAGUGCCAGUGAACGUACAACAAGCAGCAGGAAAGGCAGCAGGAGGCCAGCAGACAGGUUUGAAAACCAAGCCCCACGCUCCUGCUGCGAGAACCACCAUGUAGUCGUGCUGAGAAAUUACACAGAAAUUACAUUUUGGGGGGCAGGUGAGGCAGUCGGA